This 50-nucleotide non-coding RNA is filed under the name unclassified sequences. Its description in RNAcentral is "Li+-I sequence". It matches the Rfam family "nhaA-I RNA". Rfam says of the family: Acidobacteria, Alphaproteobacteria, Betaproteobacteria and Gammaproteobacteria, Verrucomicrobia, cand. division NC10. Downstream gene The record is from Rfam by way of RNAcentral.
GGGUCCAGCCUGGAAAGGCUGGAGGUAUUGGAAUGGUCGGGCCGCCAUUC